Molecule: transfer RNA, 64 nt
Filed under: Lachnospiraceae bacterium
Lineage: Bacteria; Bacillati; Bacillota; Clostridia; Lachnospirales; Lachnospiraceae
Description: tRNA-OTHER
Rfam family: tRNA
About the family: Transfer RNA (tRNA) molecules are approximately 80 nucleotides in length.
Source: RNAcentral
AAAACGGUAGCUAAGCGGUGAAAGCGCACAUAUUGUAUUGUUGGGGGUUCAAGUCCCUCCCGUG